AAAGCAGAUCGCCUUAUCGCACAGACUACAACGUUUGUGAGGAAAGUCCGAACACCAAAGUGCAGCAUAGUGGUUAACGGCCACCGGCCGCGAGGUCAGGAAAAGUGCAACAGAAAGUAUGUACAGGUAAUGCUGUAGUGAAACCAGGUAAACUCUAUGCGGUGCAAUGCCAUGUAAACCAACGCUUAGGGUUGCACGCCCAAUGUUGGAGGGUAGGCAGCUAAAGGUUGCUGGUAACAGUAAUCUCAGAUAAAUGAUAAGGGUUGAAGCAUUUAUGUUUCGAUACAGAAUUCGGCUUAUAGAUCUGCUUUUUUU
This 315-nucleotide RNase P RNA is filed under the name Flavobacteriaceae bacterium MAR_2010_188. RNAcentral describes it as "Bacterial RNase P class A". It matches the Rfam family "Bacterial RNase P class A". From Rfam's summary of the family: Ribonuclease P (RNase P) is a ubiquitous endoribonuclease, found in archaea, bacteria and eukarya as well as chloroplasts and mitochondria. Its best characterised activity is the generation of mature 5'-ends of tRNAs by cleaving the 5'-leader elements of precursor-tRNAs. Lineage: Bacteria; Pseudomonadati; Bacteroidota; Flavobacteriia; Flavobacteriales; Flavobacteriaceae. The record is from Rfam by way of RNAcentral.